This 902-nucleotide ribosomal RNA is filed under the name Fusarium decemcellulare. RNAcentral's name for it is "LSU rRNA". It matches the Rfam family "Eukaryotic large subunit ribosomal RNA", at positions 36 to 968 of the family's 3401-position model. Lineage: Eukaryota; Fungi; Ascomycota; Sordariomycetes; Hypocreales; Nectriaceae. The record is from RNAcentral.
AAGCAUAUCAAUAAGCGGAGGAAAAGAAACCAACAGGGAUUGCCCUAGUAACGGCGAGUGAAGCGGCAACAGCUCAAAUUUGAAAUCUGGCUCUCGGGCCCGAGUUGUAAUUUGUAGAGGAUGCUUUUGGUGCGGUGCCUUCCGAGUGCCCUGGAACGGGACGCCAUAGAGGGUGAGAGCCCCGUCUGGUUGGAUGCCAAUCCUCUGUAAAGCUCCUUCGACGAGUCGAGUAGUUUGGGAAUGCUGCUCUAAAUGGGAGGUAUAUGUCUUCUAAAGCUAAAUACCGGCCAGAGACCGAUAGCGCACAAGUAGAGUGAUCGAAAGAUGAAAAGCACUUUGAAAAGAGAGUUAAAAAGUACGUGAAAUUGUUGAAAGGGAAGCGUUUAUGACCAGACUUGGGCUUGGUUAAUCAUCCAGGGUUCUCCCUGGUGCACUUUUCCAGUCCAGGCCAGCAUCAGUUUGCUUCGGGGGAUAAAGGCUUCGGGAAUGUGGCUCUCUCCGGGGAGUGUUAUAGCCCGUUGCGUAAUACCCUGGGGCGGACUGAGGUACGCGCUUCUGCAAGGAUGCUGGCGUAAUGGUCAUCAACGACCCGUCUUGAAACACGGACCAAGGAGUCGUCUUCGUAUGCGAGUGUUCGGGUGUCAAACCCCUACGCGUAAUGAAAGUGAACGCAGGUGAGAGCUUCGGCGCAUCAUCGACCGAUCCUGAUGUUCUCGGAUGGAUUUGAGUAAGAGCAUACGGGGCCGGACCCGAAAGAAGGUGAACUAUGCUUGUAUAGGGUGAAGCCAGAGGAAACUCUGGUGGAGGCUCGCAGCGGUUCUGACGUGCAAAUCGAUCGUCAAAUAUGAGCAUGGGGGCGAAAGACUAAUCGAACCUUCUAGUAGCUGGUUUCCGCCGAAGUU